CCCAGUUUAAUGCAAAAGCAAGGCUUUUUUCAAGUUUCUCCCCACAGAGCAAGGGCACUUGUACUGCAACAGUACCAUGCUCAGGGUACUAGCAGGAACUUGUUAGGUCUUCUGGUGGAAACAUUUCUAACACCAAACCUUUGUGGUGAAAAACCCACAACUGCUGUCAGUUUCAUAUACAGUGUCAUGCAUGUGAAAACAAAAACCGUUGUGUUUUUUUUUCCUCAUUAAAACCUUCAGUAAACCUAAAAAAAAUGCCAUGUUGUCAAUUUUAUGUUGAAUUAGAGUUUGGACCCAAGUGACAAAAAAACAAACACAACACUUAAGUAACUGUCACACUGUAAGAUAAGUAGUUCCCCUCACACGAGGUGCUAGAUGAUGCCACUGAAACAUAGACUGAAGCGCUGAAAUUUGAUUUCAGUGCAGAAGCUUUGGUGAAUUAAUUACUUGUCUCCGUCUCCGGAUGUAGUCCUGUGAAGCGCUGCUGGGAUGUACCUCUCUGAGACAUCAAUUAAUGGAUCCGUUCUCCAAACUUUUUCUUUAUGGAUGAGCUGUGAGCUAUGUGUCCUCAAGUACUGACUGGACUCUCACCUGAAUUCGUAAUUUAGGAAGCAUUCCCCCAAAUGACACUUUUCAGUUUAAUGCAAAAACUUUUUAGUGUCAAAUAAGUUAAUCAGCUGAAAAAAAUUUCCCGUACAAGGCGUAAGGCAUCGCUGUCCUCUGCUGCUGUCUGCGGUGGUUCAUUCGUCUUCCCAGCCUCCACAUUCUCAACUGUUCCUGAACGCUGACCCUCAGGUGUUUGUUGCUGCGGCCUGCUGGUGUAAAGUAAUGUUUCCACCUCUGUAAUGUCCAAGUCUGUUUCUGAAACAUACGUCAUGUCCAGAUCUUCAGUGCAGUCUGAUGGGGACUCCUCUGCAGCAACUGGAUUUGCUGUCAGCUGUGAAUUUGUGGAUUUCCCCAUCUUCUUAACUGUGUCUACUGCUUUUUGUUUACCCUGGGUGUGGGUGAAGGGAAGAUCAAGCAAAUAUUAAACGACGGUUAAGAGAGUAACCCACAUGUGAUGAUUAAGAGUUUAACUGCAUACAGUAAUAUUGGAUAUAAUGGACUGUGAUGUUAAAACAUCAUUAUAUUACUUAUGUAGGGCAUGUGGGGGAGGGGGAAAUCAAAUGUUUGAAAAGAGAAACAGCACCACCUGCUGGCGAGUCACGAGUGUCAGGUCCUCACAUGAGCCGUUUGUGAAAUAGGAAACAGCUGCUUCUACCAGCUCUUGCUCGUUCAUACAGUAGAAAGCAGACCUGGGAACAUAUCAGUGGAUUGGUGAACGAGCAGCAGGCAGAGGACCAGAGGACUGGCUGUGAGAGUAACAGCAGGUAUGCGUGGCCACUUUGAGUUCAGACUUCACACGGCUCAGGGUGAGGUGGAGUUUAAGCGCUCUUUCUCAACCGAACAUGCGCCGAUAAUAAAUGAUUCACGCAACUCCGAGACAACACCUUCCCUUUAUAAUCAGUCACAGGGGAAAGUGUUGUUUUCAAACACAAGCCCAGAGGAUGCAGCUUUGUGAAAGUCCACAUGUUGUGUGAGCGAGCGUUUAUCUCCUGCUGACUUUCUUACCCACCUAUUAAAUAAGUAUGGUC
Molecule: long non-coding RNA, 1634 nt
Organism: Oreochromis aureus
Lineage: Eukaryota; Metazoa; Chordata; Actinopteri; Cichliformes; Cichlidae
Source: Ensembl